GGAAAGAGAGAGAGAGCGAGAGGGAGGGAGGAGGAAGAUAAGAGCCAUUACAACAGGAGAGUUGGGGAAACAGUAUGCGUUUCAAUUGAUUAAGAACUGCGCAAUUUCUUAGUAUCCAUCGCCGCUUUGGUCCUGGUGUCCUAAAAUAUAUUGAUAUCUAAAGGCUUGUUUGGAUUGAACAUGCGUGUGGCAAACCCGCCCGCGGUGCACGCAUAGCCUAUACCGGCGGUUGUAGCAGCUACGUACUUGGCUUAGCGAUUUUGAAACGGAAUGUUCAAUUCUUCUGCGAGAGGGCUGUACAUUCAUUUUGGAAGACGAUAUGCAAGAUUAGAGAUUACUGUACAGCUUUGAAAUUGUGCAACAACACGAGACUAAUCGUUGUGCCAUGCCCAUGGCUGAUUCUCUAAAUGCUCUCAUCUCUCCCAAGCAACGAUUUCAUAAUGUAUCUGCGUGUACAGUUUCUGCAAGACGACAUUUUCUAAAUGGAGUAAGGAUUUUUGACACAUUAUUCAGCUAUUACUUAAUUUGGGGAACGGUUUUGGGAGGCUACGUGGCUGAACGAACGUCAUUCGUGUGGAAAGAAGAUGUGUUACGAAGGUUUUUCUGUUACAGUGUGCAGCAACGGCACCUCCCAUGAGAAAACAGCAUGCACAAACAGCCUAACAUGAUGCCACGGCCUCGGUGUGCUGUUGGCAUGGGCCAGCCUGGCAUCACCUGAACAAACAUUCAAGAUGUUAACAUCACGGUCAGGGGCUUUGCAGCCACAGCAAAGAGCCAAUCAUAAUGACGUGUGGGAAUGCGGGGCCGUCUGGUUGGAGCACGCAGUUAGCCGGGUACAGACGAUACCUGGCCCACACAGGUACACACCCACGCACAGAACACACACAGUGGGAGGACGACACUGUGGCAGGUGAGAGGAAUCGAGGUGUGUGUGUGUGUGUGUGUGUGUGUGUGUCCUAAUAGAUUAGCACUGCUGUGUCAGUUGGUUGGCUGAGCCAGGGGCUGGAAAUGGGCUGAGAGUCCCUUGUUGAAACCAGACAUCCCAUUGUCCACCCCACACACACACACACACACACACACACACACACACACACAGAGGCACAGACACACAUUCGCUUAAAGACUCACACGUACUGUACACACACCUGCUGGGUUCCUUGGAGAAAAGCUGAGCUCCAUUCUGUCUCUAUUCAGGGGAGACGAAGGAGAAGAGUGGGAGGAGGGAACGGAGCAUGCGGAGUGGGGGGAGGAGGGAGGGAGUCAG
Oncorhynchus kisutch (coho salmon) is the source of this 1264-nucleotide long non-coding RNA. RefSeq lists it as uncharacterized. NCBI's taxonomy places the organism in Eukaryota, Metazoa, Chordata, Actinopteri, Salmoniformes, Salmonidae. The transcript is spliced from 4 exons. The record is from RefSeq and is a predicted model, not a curated record.